UACGGAGGAUGCAAGCGUUAUCCGGAAUGAUUGGGCGUAAAGCGUCCGCAGGUGGCAAUGUAAGUCUGCUGUUAAAGAGUCUAGCUCAACUAGAUAAAAGCAGUGGAAACUACAUAGCUAGAGUACGUUCGGGGCAGAGGGAAUUCCUGGUGUAGCGGUGAAAUGCGUAGAGAUCAGGAAGAACACCAGUGGCGAAGGCGCUCUGCUAGGCCGUAACUGACACUGAGGGACGAAAGCUAGGGGAGCGAAAGGG
This 253-nucleotide ribosomal RNA is filed under the name uncultured bacterium. RNAcentral describes it as "partial 16S ribosomal RNA". It matches the Rfam family "Bacterial small subunit ribosomal RNA", at positions 524 to 776 of the family's 1533-position model. The record is from RNAcentral.